RNAcentral lists this long non-coding RNA (806 nucleotides) under Rattus norvegicus (Norway rat). RNAcentral describes it as "long non-coding RNA NONRATT015306". The record is from RNAcentral. Lineage: Eukaryota; Metazoa; Chordata; Mammalia; Rodentia; Muridae.
GAUGGGCCUGUGUUCAUCAAGGAGGCGUGGCCCCUCAUACUGCAUAGAAGAUGGCCACUCUAAGUGGCUCACUCUCAGGUGGCUUGGCCUUGGUUUUAUGUCUUAUCUCUCAUUCUUGGGAACACGUAAUUGCCACAGCAGCAAGGAGGCACACCACAGAGGGAAGUCAUAUCACAGAGGGGAAAUGGCUAUAUUAAGAUUACGGGGUUGGGGAUUUAGCUCAGUGGUAGAGCGCUUGCCUAGCAAGCACAAGGCCCUGGGUUCGGUCCUCGGCUCAAAAAACAAAACAAACAAACAAACAAAAAACAAUCAAGAUUACCCCCCACAUAUACUCCAUCCACAGACAGAUCACUCAGUUACAUUUAUCAUUCAUAAUAUAGGCCACACUUCUCUGCAACUCAUCUCUCAGCCACUAUUCAGAUGCCAAUUGCUUGUGCAACAUUUCCUGGGAAAACAUGAAAAUAUUUAUUCACCCUAGAUAGGGCCUGGAUGAGAGACCAAAUAAAUAACUUACUCUAGCUUGCUGAACCAAUAAAUUCUUUAGGGUUACUUAUAGGAGUAUGGGUGACUCAAAGAUAGUCACAUCCCUGUAUAGUGCACCCCACCAUGGGUAACGGCUCAGAAAAACUGCAUCUCUCAAUGCUACACAUAGCUAGCAGAUAGCUCCACUAAGAGUGUCUCAUCUCUCCUAUAAUUGUUUAUUGUUUCAUAGAUAACCUUUGAGAAAGGCUAUACGAACUUUUAAGUCUUAUAAGCUUCUAGAAUAUUGAGUCUUAGUCCUCCCUGCAAGAAUUUUAUAGUUCAGA